CCUACGGGGAGCAGCAGUGAGGAAUAUUGGUCAAUGGGCGGGAGCCUGAACCAGCCAAGCCGCGUGAGGGAAGAAGGUACAGCGUAUCGUAAACCUCUUCUGUCAGGGAACAAAGGCGGGGACUAGUCCCCGGAUGAGGGUACCUGAAGAAAAAGCAUCGGCUAACUCCGGGCCAGCAGCCGCGGUAAUACGGAGGAUGCGAGCGUUAUCCGGAUUUAUUGGGGUAAAAGGGUGCGCAGGCGGCCUGUUAAGUCAGCGGUAAAAGCCCGGGGCUCAACCCCGGCGAGCCGUUGAAACUGGCGGGCUGGAGUUGGAGAGAAGUACGCGGAAUGCGCGGUGUAGCGGUGAAAUGCUUAGAUAUCGCGCAGAACCCCGAUUGCGAAGGCAGCGUACCGGCUCCACACUGACGCUGAGGCACGAAAGCGUGGGUAGCGAACAGGAUUAGAUACCCCUGUAGUC
Molecule: ribosomal RNA, 459 nt
Filed under: uncultured bacterium
Lineage: Bacteria
Description: partial 16S ribosomal RNA
Rfam family: Bacterial small subunit ribosomal RNA
Source: RNAcentral